UUGCGAUGAUGACCAUUUAGGACACCUUUGUAUUAACCAUGAAAAUGAAAUGUAACUCUGAGCGAU
This 66-nucleotide small nucleolar RNA is filed under the name Seriola dumerili (greater amberjack). RNAcentral describes it as "Small nucleolar RNA SNORD58 (ENSSDUG00000015784.1)". It matches the Rfam family "Small nucleolar RNA SNORD58". Rfam says of the family: snoRNA U58 is found in introns 1, 3 and 6 of the ribosomal protein RPL17 gene in humans. U58 is a member of the C/D class of snoRNA which contain C (UGAUGA) and D (CUGA) box motifs. The record is from RNAcentral. Lineage: Eukaryota; Metazoa; Chordata; Actinopteri; Carangiformes; Carangidae.